CAAAGUAGUUCCCCGAGGUACAUGGACACAAAGUAGUUCCCCGAGGUACAUGCACACAAAGUAGUUCCCCGAGGUACAUGGACACAAAGUAGUUCCCCGAGGUACAUGCACACAAAGUAGUUCCCCGAGGUACGUGCACACAAAGUAGUUCCCCGAGGUACAUGGACACAAAGUAGUUCCCCGAGGUACGUGCACACAAAGUAGUUCCCCGAGGUACGUGCACACAAAGUAGUUCCCCGAGGUACAUGGACACAAAGUAGUUCCCUGAGGUACAUGGACACAAAGUAGUUCCCCGAGGUACAUGGACACAAAGUAGUUCCCCGAGGUACAUGGACACAAAGUAGUUCCCCGAGGUACAUGGACACAAAGUAGUUCCCCGAGGUACAUGCACACAAAGUAGUUCCCCGAGGUACAUGCACACAAAGUAGUUCCCCGAGGUACAUGGACACAAAGUAGUUCCCCGAGGUACAUGGACACAAAGUAGUUCCCCGAGGUACAUGGACACAAAGUAGUUCCCCGAGGUACAUGGACACAAAGUAGUUCCCCGAGGUACAUGGACACAAAGUAGUUCCCCGAGGUACAUGGACACAAAGUAGUUCCCCGAGGUACAUGGACACAAAGUAGUUCCCCGAGGUACAUGCACACAAAGUAGUUCCCCGAGGUACAUGCACACAAAGUAGUUCCCCGAGGUACAUGGACACAAAGUAGUUCCCCGAGGUACAUGGACACAAAGUAGUUCCGAGGUACAUGCACACAAAGUAGUUCCGAGGUACAUGCACACAAAGUAGUUCCGAGGUACAUGCACACAAAGUAGUUCCCCGAGGUACAUGGACACAAAGUAGUUCCCCGAGGUUAGGCUUGCGAUUAUUUUCUCAUAAACAUCUAAAACUGGCAGUAUACAGAACAGCUACAAUGGUGAAAUGUCCCCCUGUUCUUGGCUAACCAUUUAGACUGUAACUGUGUUUGUGGGUCAGGUGCUAACCCUUACUC
Long non-coding RNA from Oncorhynchus keta (chum salmon), 990 nucleotides. RefSeq lists it as uncharacterized. The transcript is spliced from 4 exons. The record is from RefSeq and is a predicted model, not a curated record. Lineage: Eukaryota; Metazoa; Chordata; Actinopteri; Salmoniformes; Salmonidae.